UAAAAGGUAAGCUAAAAAAGCUAAUGGGUUCAUACCCCACUUAUAAAGGAAAUCCUUUCCUUUUAA
RNAcentral lists this transfer RNA (66 nucleotides) under Systropus sp. 2 YXA-2022a. RNAcentral's name for it is "tRNA-Met". Lineage: Eukaryota; Metazoa; Arthropoda; Insecta; Diptera; Bombyliidae. The record is from RNAcentral.